This 249-nucleotide ribosomal RNA is filed under the name uncultured bacterium. Its description in RNAcentral is "partial 16S ribosomal RNA". It matches the Rfam family "Bacterial small subunit ribosomal RNA", at positions 105 to 353 of the family's 1533-position model. The record is from RNAcentral.
GGUGAGUAAUGUAUGGGGAUCUGCCCGAUAGAGGGGGGAUAACUACUGGAAACGGUGGCUAAUACCGCAUAAUGUCUACGGACCAAAGCAGGGGCUCUUCGGACCUUGCACUAUCGGAUGAACCCAUAUGGGAUUAGCUAGUAGGUGGGGUAAAGGGCUCACCUAGGCGACGAUCUCUAGCUGGUCUGAGAGGAUGAUCAGCCACACUGGGACUGAGACACGGCCCAGACUCCUACGGGAGGCAGCAUG